GAUGACUGGAAGAAUAAGCAAAGGAAAAACUCCAGUGUAAAUAAAAUAUACGAUUCAACGAAUUUAUUGAUUGUCCUAUUCAUCAAGGGUCAACCAGUUUUCCCUACAAAAAAGUACUGAGAGAAAGAAUCAGGGAGGGCCAAGUUGAGGUGUUAGUGCAGUGGCAUCCCUGCUCUGGAUGUGGGGUGAAGUGGAAAAACUCCUGGGAGCCGAAAACCAAUGUUCAGUGAGUGUCAUCCUGAAGACAAGGGUGUAUUAAUACAAGUAGGGAGCCUGUACAAAAGUACCUUUUGUAUUAGUGUGGUAUGGGUUCAACUGACACUCCCUGCAGUUCUCCUGUUGUCCACAUGCGUCACUGUUCAGUAAGAUGUAUGUAUGUUCACUGUGGAAAGUUAUUAAUUUGUUUUCACUUUUAAAACAUUACAAAAUUGUCCUUAUACAUACUUUUUUAUACAUUCAUUAUUAUUUAUACACUAU
Molecule: long non-coding RNA, 477 nt
Organism: Melanotaenia boesemani (Boeseman's rainbowfish)
Lineage: Eukaryota; Metazoa; Chordata; Actinopteri; Atheriniformes; Melanotaeniidae
Exons: 4
Source: RefSeq, a predicted model, not a curated record